GGCGCUUUCGUCUAGUGGCUAGGACAUAUGCCUCUCACUCAUCAUCUUGUAACGAACACGGGUUCGAUUCCCGUAGGCGCUA
Molecule: transfer RNA, 82 nt
Filed under: Bacteroidaceae bacterium
Lineage: Bacteria; Pseudomonadati; Bacteroidota; Bacteroidia; Bacteroidales; Bacteroidaceae
Description: tRNA-Glu
Rfam family: tRNA
About the family: Transfer RNA (tRNA) molecules are approximately 80 nucleotides in length. Their secondary structure includes four short double-helical elements and three loops (D, anti-codon, and T loops).
Source: RNAcentral